This 531-nucleotide ribosomal RNA is filed under the name uncultured bacterium. RNAcentral describes it as "bacterial SSU rRNA". It matches the Rfam family "Bacterial small subunit ribosomal RNA", at positions 974 to 1509 of the family's 1533-position model. The record is from RNAcentral.
CCUACCCUUGACAUGUCUGGAAUCCUGAAGAGAUUUGGGAGUGCUCGCAAGAGAACCGGAACACAGGUGCUGCAUGGCUGUCGUCAGCUCGUGUCGUGAGAUGUUGGGUUAAGUCCCGCAACGAGCGCAACCCUUGUCAUUAGUUGCUACGAAAGGGCACUCUAAUGAGACUGCCGGUGACAAACCGGAGGAAGGUGGGGAUGACGUCAAGUCCUCAUGGCCCUUAUGGGUAGGGCUUCACACGUCAUACAAUGGUCGGGACAGAGGGUUGCCAACCCGCGAGGGGGAGCCAAUCUCAGAAACCCGAUCGUAGUCCGGAUUGCAGGCUGCAACUCGCCUGCAUGAAGUCGGAAUCGCUAGUAAUCGCGGAUCAGCAUGUCGCGGUGAAUACGUUCCCGGGUCUUGUACACACCGCCCGUCACACCAUGGGAGUGGGUUUCACCAGAAGUAGGUAGCCUAACCGCAAGGGGGGCGCUUACCACGGUGGGAUUCAUGACUGGGGUGAAGUCGUAACAAGGUAAGCGUAGUGCU